AGUUUAUUUAUGACCUGUCGGUCCACUUGGCUAUGUGCGCGUGUGUGUCUUGGCUAUUCUACGAUUGCCAUUCCACUAUUUCACUAUUACUUCAUGUUUUCGUAACGUGUGCGCCGGGCUGGAGACCUAGACGCGUGUGUCUCGCGAGUAUAUAGCAUUUCGUCCGCUUCUUCCGCGUGUCCAUCCAAGGCCGCAAUGUGCGCUUCAUACUUAAACGCUCUAGUGUUAUGAUACUGGAUGUUGUAAAUGAUUCAUUCGGAAUGUGCUAAAGCUGAACAUUUAGUGGUCUGCGAGGACACCAUCCCCACUCCACAUCGAAUGGAAUGUUCGCUUAUCUUGCAAGGUGUAAAACGAGGUAAACAUGGGAUGAACAACAUUCCAGUGCAAAUCGCAAAGGAAAUUGUAAUAUGUUAAUAGAAAGUAAUGUUAUCUCCCUAUCAUAAAUAAAUGACGUAAAGUGGAGCUGGACGAGAUAAUAAAUAA
Long non-coding RNA from Dalotia coriaria, 483 nucleotides. RefSeq lists it as uncharacterized. The transcript has 2 exons. The record is from RefSeq and is a predicted model, not a curated record. NCBI's taxonomy places the organism in Eukaryota, Metazoa, Arthropoda, Insecta, Coleoptera, Staphylinidae.